GAUAAGAACGUAGCGAAAUGCGAUACGUAGUGUGAAUUGCAGAAUUCAGUGAAUCAUCGAAUCUUUGAACGCACAUUGCACCUCUCGGUAUUCCGGGAGGUAUGCCUGUUCGAGCGUCAUUUGUACCCUCAAGCUCUGCUUGGUGUUGGGUGUUUGUUCCGCCUCUGUGUGUGAACUCGCCUCAAAACAAUUGGCAGCCGGCGUACUUGUUUCGGAGCGCAGCACAUUUUGCGAUCCAGAUCAACGUACAGCGGCAUCCAAGAAGCCUUAUUUAACGCUCUUGACCUCGGAUCAGGUAGGGAUGCCCGCUGAACUUAAGCAUAUCAAUAAGCGGAGGA
This 338-nucleotide unclassified non-coding RNA is filed under the name soil metagenome. Its description in RNAcentral is "partial contains 5.8S ribosomal RNA, internal transcribed spacer 2, and large subunit ribosomal RNA". The stretch from base 4 to 119 matches the Rfam family "5.8S ribosomal RNA", at positions 39 to 154 of the family's 154-position model. The record is from RNAcentral.